This 468-nucleotide ribosomal RNA is filed under the name uncultured bacterium. RNAcentral's name for it is "partial 16S ribosomal RNA". It matches the Rfam family "Bacterial small subunit ribosomal RNA", at positions 28 to 507 of the family's 1533-position model. The record is from RNAcentral.
GACGAACGCUGGCGGCGUGCUUAACACAUGCAAGUCGAACGGAAAGGCCCUGCUUUUGUGGGGUGCUCGAGUGGCGAACGGGUGAGUAACACGUGAGUAACCUGCCCUUGACUUUGGGAUAACUUCAGGAAACUGGGGCUAAUACCGGAUAGGAGCUCCUGCUGCAUGGUGGGGGUUGGAAAGUUUCGGCGGUUGGGGAUGGACUCGCGGCUUAUCAGCUUGUUGGUGGGGUAGUGGCUUACCAAGGCUUUGACGGGUAGCCGGCCUGAGAGGGUGACCGGCCUCGUGGGGACUGGUAUGCCGCCCGCACUCCUGGGGGGGGCGGCGGGGGGGAGUGUUGCACGGGGGGCGGACCCCUUAUGCACCCACGCCGCGGGCGGGGGGGCGGCUUUCGGUUUGUACCCGGCUUCCGCCGGUGCCGAAGGGGGGGUGAGGGUAGUGGAUAAAGAACCCCCGCCUAACUACGCG